Molecule: small nucleolar RNA, 159 nt
Organism: Acomys russatus (golden spiny mouse)
Lineage: Eukaryota; Metazoa; Chordata; Mammalia; Rodentia; Muridae
Product: small nucleolar RNA SNORA81
Exons: 1
Source: RefSeq, a predicted model, not a curated record
ACCUUCUUGCUAAGCAGUGUGUUGAGAUUAUAAAAACCAGCAUUAUGUCUUGGAUUUUGUAAUAACAAGCACACACAAGAAAAAGUAGCUGCUCUGAACUCCAAAGACGGGAAUGCGUCUUUGUAAAUGUCCAGUGCCUUAAUAUUUGUUGAGAUAUGU